Molecule: long non-coding RNA, 608 nt
Organism: Daphnia pulicaria
Lineage: Eukaryota; Metazoa; Arthropoda; Branchiopoda; Diplostraca; Daphniidae
Exons: 3
Source: RefSeq, a predicted model, not a curated record
CGAGUGAGCAUCUCCGACACGGUAAUAACUGCAUCCUUCGUCGUAUUACCAGUUCACAAUGGUGGUAAACUAUGCCGUCUUGCUGCACUGCUGCUAUUGGUUGUUGUAUUGCUGAUGGCUGGGUCGAUCAAGGGUGUACCGAUUUCUCCUGGGUAUGGUGAAUAUCAAAAAACAGCAGCGAAAGAAUACUCUACCACGCCGCCUCCUUACUAAACAACAACUUCAACACCUACUUACUAUACGAAGGCCUCCAAGUACUACACUACCAAGGCUCCUGAGUAUUAAACUGCAACCUACGCAGCUCCAUCUUUGGAAACAUGGUUACAACUGAGAAUUCAUGUACUACACCACUAAGGCAGCGGAGUACUACACCACUAAGGCAGCGGAGUACUACACCACUAAGGCAGCGGAGUACUACACCACUAAGGCAGCGGAGUACUACACCACUAAGGCAGCGGAGUACUACACCACUAAGGCAGCGGAGACUGCGGAGUACUACACACCACAGCAGCUGCUAAUUCGUACUUCGUUGAACUGGAAUAAACCGAGGCUCCAGUUUACUACACUACAAUCUACGCUGCUCCCAGGUACUACAUCGACGAGGCUGC